RNAcentral lists this ribosomal RNA (1240 nucleotides) under metagenome. RNAcentral describes it as "bacterial LSU rRNA". It matches the Rfam family "Bacterial large subunit ribosomal RNA", at positions 1564 to 2815 of the family's 2925-position model. The record is from RNAcentral.
UGAGUACGAGAUGCUACGGCGUCGAAGCAGUGUAUGUCAGACUUCCAAGAAAAGCUCGCAAUGUCAUAAAUAAAUAAUGCCUGUACCAUAACCGACACAGGUGGGUAGGUAGAGUAUACUAAGGGGCGCGAGAUAACUCUCUCUAAGGAACUCGGCAAAAUAACUCCGUAACUUCGGGAGAAGGAGUGCCUUAUUUUAUAAGGUUGCAAUAACAAGAUCCAAGCAACUGUUUACCAAAAACACAGGUCUCCGCUAAGUCGUAAGACGAUGUAUGGGGGCUGACGCCUGCCCAGUGCCAGAAGGUUAAAGAAGUCGGUUAGCUUUCCGAAGCUGAUACUGAAGCCCUGGUGAACGGCGGCCGUAACGAUAACGGUCCGAAGGUAGCGAAAUUCCUUGUCGGGUAAGUUCCGACCCGCACGAAAGGCGUAAUGAUUUGGAUACUGUCUCGGAGAGGGACUCGGUGAAAUAGACUUGUCUGUGAAGAUGCGGACUACCUGCACCAGGACAGAAAGACCCUAUGAAGCUUUACUGUAACUUGAAAUUGAAAUUGGACUUUAUUUGCGCAGUAUGGGUGGGAGGCGUUGAAAAUAAUCUUGCGGGAUUCUUGGAGCCAUCAGUGAGAUACCACUCCUAUAAUGUUAGAUUUCUAACUUUGUAUCAUAAUCUGGUCAAAGAACAGUUUCAGGCGGGCAGUUUGACUGGGGCGGUCGCCUCCCAAAUGGUAACGGAGGCGUACAAAGGUCUCCUCUGAACGGGUAGAAAUCGUAUCUAGAGUGUAAAGGCAUAAGGAAGCUUGACUGUGAGACCUACAAGUCGAGCAGGGACGAAAGUCGGUCUUAGUGAUCUGACGGUGCUGAGUGGAAAGGCCGUCACUCAACGGAUAAAAGUUACUCUAGGAUAACAGGCUGAUCUCCCCCAAGAGUUCACAUCGACGGGGAGGUUUGCCACCUCGAUGUCGGCUCAUCGCAUCCUGGGGCGGUAGUACGUCCCAAGGGUUGGGCUGUUCGCCCAUGAAAGCGGUACGCGAGCUGGGUUCAGAACGUCGUGAGACAGUUCGGUCCAUAUCCGGUGUAGGCGUUAGAAUAUUGAGAGGAGCCUUCUUUAGUACGAGAGGACCGAGAAGGACAUACCUCUGGUGUACCAGUUAUCGUGCCAACGGUAAACGCUGGGUAGCUAUGUAUGGAGAGGAUAACCGCUGAAAGCAUCUAAGUGGGAAGUCCACCUCAAGAUGAGUAUUCAC